This 253-nucleotide ribosomal RNA is filed under the name uncultured bacterium. RNAcentral describes it as "partial 16S ribosomal RNA". It matches the Rfam family "Bacterial small subunit ribosomal RNA", at positions 524 to 776 of the family's 1533-position model. The record is from RNAcentral.
CACGGGGGGGGCAAGCGUUGUUCGGAAUUACUGGGCGUAAAGGGCGCGUAGGCGGCCUUCUAAGUCAGACGUGAAAUCCCUCGGCUCAACCGAGGAACUGCGUCUGAUACUGGAAGGCUUGAAUCCGGGAGAGGGAUGUGGAAUUCCAGGUGUAGCGGUGAAAUGCGUAGAUAUCUGGAGGAACACCGGUGGCGAAGGCGGCAUCCUGGACCGGUAUUGACGCUGAGGCGCGAAAGCUAGGGGAGCAAACGGG